Molecule: RNase P RNA, 425 nt
Filed under: Halomicronema hongdechloris C2206
Lineage: Bacteria; Bacillati; Cyanobacteriota; Cyanophyceae; Nodosilineales; Nodosilineaceae
Description: Bacterial RNase P class A
Rfam family: Bacterial RNase P class A
About the family: Ribonuclease P (RNase P) is a ubiquitous endoribonuclease, found in archaea, bacteria and eukarya as well as chloroplasts and mitochondria. Its best characterised activity is the generation of mature 5'-ends of tRNAs by cleaving the 5'-leader elements of precursor-tRNAs. Cellular RNase Ps are ribonucleoproteins.
Source: Rfam by way of RNAcentral
AGAGUCGGCGCAGGCGGUUACGGACGGGAGUUCCUGUCCGAGGAAAGUCCGGGCUCCCUAAGGACCAGACUUGCUGGGUAACGCCCAGUGCGGGUGACCGUGAGGAGAGUGCCACAGAAACAUACCGCCGAUGGCAAGACAGAGACAGACUGGAGCAAAGAUAGCGGGAAAUUCUGCCGUCUGCCUUCUGUCGUCUGCCUUUCACAGGUAAGGGUGCAAAGGUGCGGUAAGAGCGCACCAGCAGCAUCGAGAGGUGCUGGCUCGGUAAACCCCGGUCGGGAGCAAGGUCGGAGGGGUUAUGGUUGGUUCUUUACCGACCCCGUUGCAGGAACCGCUAGAGGCGUCUGGUAACAGGCGUCCCAGAUAGAUAACCGCCCUUCUGGAUACCCAGAAGAACAGAACCCGGCUUAUGUCCGGCUCUUUCC